RNAcentral lists this ribosomal RNA (368 nucleotides) under Escherichia coli. RNAcentral describes it as "bacterial SSU rRNA". It matches the Rfam family "Bacterial small subunit ribosomal RNA", at positions 15 to 379 of the family's 1533-position model. Lineage: Bacteria; Pseudomonadati; Pseudomonadota; Gammaproteobacteria; Enterobacterales; Enterobacteriaceae. The record is from RNAcentral.
AAGCNUGGCUCAGAUUGAACGCUGGCGGCAGGCCUAACACAUGCAAGUCGAACGGUAACAGGAAACAGCUUGCUGUUUCGCUGACGAGUGGCGGACGGGUGAGUAAUGUCUGGGAAACUGCCUGAUGGAGGGGGAUAACUACUGGAAACGGUAGCUAAUACCGCAUAACGUCGCAAGACCAAAGAGGGGGACCCUCGGGCCUCUUGCCAUCGGAUGUGCCCAGAUGGGAUUAGCUUGUUGGUGGGGUAACGGCUCACCAAGGCGACGAUCCCUAGCUGGUCUGAGAGGAUGACCAGCCACACUGGAACUGAGACACGGUCCAGACUCCUACGGGAGGCAGCAGUGGGGAAUAUUGCACAAUGGGCGCA